This 535-nucleotide ribosomal RNA is filed under the name uncultured bacterium. Its description in RNAcentral is "bacterial SSU rRNA". It matches the Rfam family "Bacterial small subunit ribosomal RNA", at positions 94 to 698 of the family's 1533-position model. The record is from RNAcentral.
AGUGGCGAACGGGUGAGUAACACGUGAGCAAUCUGCCCCUGACUCUGGGAUAAGCGCUGGAAACGGCGUCUAAUACCGGAUAGUCAGGGAUGAGCUCGCGGCCUAUCAGCUAGUUGGUGAGGUAAUGGUCACCAAGGCGCGACGGGUAGCCGGCCUGAGAGGGUGACCGGCCACACUGGGACUGAGACACGGCCCAGACUCCUACGGGAGGCAGCAGUGGGGAAUAUUGCACAAUGGGCGCAAGCCUGAUGCAGCAACGCCGCGUGAGGGACGACGGCCUUCGGGUUGUAAACCUCUUUUAGCAGGGAAGCGGUACCUGCAGAAAAAGCACCGGCUAACUACGUGCCAGCAGCCGCGGUAAUACGUAGGGUGCAAGCGUUAUCCGGAAUUAUUGGGCGUAAAGAGCUCGUAGGCGGUUUGUCGCGUCUGCUGUGAAACUGGGGGCUCAACCCCCAGCCUGCAGUGGGUACGGGCAGACUAGAGUGCGGUAGGGGAGAUUGGAAUUCCUGGUGUAGCGGUGGAAUGCGCAGAUAUC